RNAcentral lists this unclassified non-coding RNA (163 nucleotides) under uncultured Mucoromycotina. RNAcentral describes it as "sequence contains ITS1". The record is from RNAcentral. Lineage: Eukaryota; Fungi.
GAAACCACCGGCAUAGCCGGUAUAAGAUUCUAUCCACCUUGUGUGCAAACAAUGGAAAAAGAGAGAAAAUUGGGUAUUUUUGUAUCCAACUUCUCUAAAAAAAUUUAUAAACUCCAUCAAAUUUUGAAUUAAACCGAUUUUUUUUUAAUAAAAAAAUAUUAUA